RNAcentral lists this ribosomal RNA (274 nucleotides) under uncultured bacterium. RNAcentral describes it as "partial 16S ribosomal RNA". It matches the Rfam family "Bacterial small subunit ribosomal RNA", at positions 523 to 796 of the family's 1533-position model. The record is from RNAcentral.
AUACGGAGGGUGCAAGCGUUAUCCGGAUUCACUGGGUUUAAAGGGUGCGUAGGCUUCCCAUCAUGUUUCUAGUGAAAGCCUCGGGCUUAACCCGAGAAUUGCUGGAAAAACUGUUGGGAUUGAGUACAUUUGAGGUGGGCGGAAUGUGUCAUGUAGCGGUGAAAUGCGUAGAUAUGACACAGAACACCAAUUGCGAAGGCAGCUCACUAAACUGUAACUGACGCUGAGGCACGAAAGCGUGGGUAGCGAACAGGAUUAGAUACCCGGGUAGUCC